This 439-nucleotide ribosomal RNA is filed under the name uncultured bacterium. RNAcentral describes it as "partial 16S ribosomal RNA". It matches the Rfam family "Bacterial small subunit ribosomal RNA", at positions 338 to 795 of the family's 1533-position model. The record is from RNAcentral.
CCUACGGGUGGCUGCAGUGAGGAAUAUUGCACAAUGGGCGAAAGCCUGAUGCAGCAACGCCGCGUGAGCGAUGAAGGCCUUAGGGUCGUAAAGCUCUGUCCUCAAGGAAGAUAAUGACGGUACUUGUGGCGGAAUCCCCGGCUAACCACGUUCCAGCAGCCGCGGUAAUACGUAGGGGGCGAUCGUUAUCCGGAAUUACGGGGCGUAAAGGGGGGGUAGGUGGUUGCUUAAGUCAGAGGUGAAAGGUUAGGGCUAAACCGUAGGAAGCCUUUGAAACUGGGGUACUUGAGUGCAGGAGAGGUGGGUGGAAUUCGUGGUGUAGCGGUGAAAUGCGUAGAUAUUAGGAGGAACACCGGUUGCGAAGGCGGCUCUCUGGACUGUAACUGACACUGAGGCACGAAAGCGUGGGGAGCAAACAGGAUUAGAUACCCGGGUAGUC